AUUGAACGCUGGCGGCAGGCCUAACACAUGCAAGUCGAGCGGAUGAAGGGAGCUUGCUCCUGGAUUCAGCGGCGGACGGGUGAGUAAUGCCUAGGAAUCUGCCUGGUAGUGGGGGAUAACGUCCGGAAACGGGCGCUAAUACCGCAUACGUCCUGAGGGAGAAAGUGGGGGAUCUUCGGACCUCACGCUAUCAGAUGAGCCUAGGUCGGAUUAGUUAGUUGGUGGGGUAAAGGCCUACCAAGGCGACGAUCCGUAACUGGUCUGAGAGGAUGAUCAGUCACACGGGAACUGAGACACGGUCCAGACUCCUACGGGAGGCAGCAGUGGGGAAUAUUGGACAAUGGGCGAAAGCCUGAUCCAGCCAUGCCGCGUGUGUGAAGAAGGUCUUCGGAUUGUAAAGCACGUUAAGUUGGGAGGAAGGGCAGUAAGUUAAUACCUUGCUGUUUUGACGUUACCAACAGAAUAAGCACCGGCUAACUUCGUG
This 484-nucleotide ribosomal RNA is filed under the name uncultured bacterium. Its description in RNAcentral is "partial 16S ribosomal RNA". It matches the Rfam family "Bacterial small subunit ribosomal RNA", at positions 30 to 507 of the family's 1533-position model. The record is from RNAcentral.